UACGGAGGGUGCAAGCGUUAAUCGGAAUCACUGGGCGUAAAGCGCGCGUAGGUGGCUAUUUAAGUCAGAUGUGAAAGCCCUGGGCUCAACCUGGGAAUGGCAUUUGAGACUGGAUAGCUAGAGUAUGGUAGAGGUGAGUGGAAUUUCAGGUGUAGCGGUGAAAUGCGUAGAGAUCUGAAGGAACAUCAGUGGCGAAGGCGACUCACUGGGCCAUUACUGACACUGAGGUGCGAAAGCGUGGGUAGCAAACAGG
Molecule: ribosomal RNA, 253 nt
Filed under: uncultured bacterium
Lineage: Bacteria
Description: partial 16S ribosomal RNA
Rfam family: Bacterial small subunit ribosomal RNA
Source: RNAcentral